CUGUUUUAGUGCCCUGGCAUUGCCUAAGGAUAGAUAAGAAAGCACAAAUCCCUUCCCACGAAGAUUCAAACUUCUUCUUCUGAGGCCUACAGAUUGACCUAAUAGC
Molecule: small nucleolar RNA, 106 nt
Organism: Oryctolagus cuniculus (rabbit)
Lineage: Eukaryota; Metazoa; Chordata; Mammalia; Lagomorpha; Leporidae
Source: Ensembl